Molecule: ribosomal RNA, 252 nt
Filed under: uncultured bacterium
Lineage: Bacteria
Description: partial 16S ribosomal RNA
Rfam family: Bacterial small subunit ribosomal RNA
Source: RNAcentral
GAUCAUGGCUCAGAUUGAACGCUGGCGGCAGGCCUAACACAUGCAAGUCGAACGGUAACAGGAGGAAGCUUGCUUCUUUGCUGACGAGUGGCGGACGGGUGAGUAAUGUCUGGGAAACUGCCUGAUGGAGGGGGAUAACUACUGGAAACGGUAGCUAAUACCGCGUAACGUCGCAAGACCAAAGAGGGGGACCUUCGGGCCUCUUGCCAUCGGAUGUGCCCAGAUGGGAUUAGCUAGUAGGUGGGGUAACGG